GACGAACGCUGGCGGCGUGCUUAACACAUGCAAGUCGAACGGAAAGGCCUCUUUCGGGGGGUACUCGAGUGGCGAACGGGUGAGUAACACGUGAGUAACCUGCCCUUGACUUUGGGAUAACUUCAGGAAACUGGGGCUAAUACCGGAUAGGAGCUCCUGCUGCAUGGUGGGGGUUGGAAAGUUUCGGCGGUUGGGGAUGGACUCGCGGCUUAUCAGCUUGUUGGUGGGGGAGUGGCUUACCAAGGCUUUGACGGGUAGCCGGCCUGAGAGGGUGACCGGCCACAUUGGGACUGAGAUACGGCCCAGACUCCUACGGGAGGCAGCAGGGGGGAAUAUUGCACAAUGGGUGGAAGCCUGAUGCAGCAACGCCGUGUGCGGGAUGACGGCCUUCGGGUUGUAAACCGCUUUCGCUCAUGACGAAGCUUUGUGUGACGGUAGUGGGUAAAGAAGCACCGGCUAACUACGUG
Molecule: ribosomal RNA, 467 nt
Filed under: uncultured bacterium
Lineage: Bacteria
Description: partial 16S ribosomal RNA
Rfam family: Bacterial small subunit ribosomal RNA
Source: RNAcentral